GGGUGGGCAGGUAUAGUGGUUAACGGCUGCAUUAGGGAUGUCGAUGAGAUUAAUGGAUGUGAUAUUGGAGUUAGGGCUCUAGCUUCUCAUCCUAUGAAAGCCAAUAAGAAGGGGAUGGGGGAGAAACAUGUACCCAUAGCCAUUGAAGGGACAAGAAUCUGUGAUGGUGAAUGGCUUUAUGCAGACACGGAUGGGAUCCUUAUUUCUCGAACUGAGCUAUCUGUCUGAGUAAAGAUA
This 237-nucleotide unclassified non-coding RNA is filed under the name Hevea brasiliensis (rubber tree). The record is from RNAcentral. Lineage: Eukaryota; Viridiplantae; Streptophyta; Magnoliopsida; Malpighiales; Euphorbiaceae.